Molecule: transfer RNA, 30 nt
Filed under: Holcosus sinister
Lineage: Eukaryota; Metazoa; Chordata; Lepidosauria; Squamata; Teiidae
Description: Holcosus undulatus sinistra partial tRNA-Ala
Source: RNAcentral
CAUAAGACUUGUGCUACUCACAACACAUCU